AAAUUAUUUUUUGCGCUUAUCAUAACUGGACAAGAUAAUAAAACUGCUAAAUUGUAGCUUUAAAGAAACAACGUUAGCUCAGGGAUAAACUGGCUGAGCCUGAAGCAGCAGAAUCUUCUUCAUGAUUGGGCGUGCUUUGCACAUGGCCUCUAGUGGUACAGCCUUGGGCAUAGUAAUCCCUUUACCUUCCAUCAUAUCAAUGUUCUUAUCACUCACCCUUUCCCAUUCAAAGCAUUGGAUGAGGGACCCUAAGGUCAACCCUAUUACACGUUGAGCUAAACCAGACCCAGGACAGGACCUUCUUCCCAAGCCGAAUGGCAUAAGUUUGUGACCCUCUCCUUCUCCUCCAUCAAAUCUCUCAGGUUUGAAACUCGUAGGAUCAUCCCAAAUUGUAGGAUCUCUGUGUAUAGUCCACGCAUUGACUAAUAGCAAGGUGCCACGCGGCACGUCGUAUCCUCCAAGAGUGCAAUCAUCAGAUGACAUGUGGGGAACUAAGAGUGGAGCUGCUGGGUAUAGCCUAAGGGUCUCGGAGAUAAUGUUUUGAAGGUAGGGUAACUUGGAAAGAUGAUGUUCAUCUACCAAACAUUCUUGCCCAACCUGAUUUUCUAUUUCAUCUCUAGCCUUCCUCAGUAUGUUUGGAUGGUUGAGUAGAUUGGACAUUGCCCAUUCUAAUGUCACUGCAGAUGUAUCUGUUCCAGCAAACAGCAUGAUCUGAAUGAGCCCUUUGAUAAUCUCAUCAGUAUAAUAAUCGGGCUGUGACUCUUGCAAAGAAAGAAGGUGAUCAAUCAUGGUAUUCUUCCUCUCUAAACCUGAAUGCUCCUUAUUAUUUCUAUGCUCAUCGAUCAAACCCUGGAAGAAUUUAUCUGUCUUUUCUGCAAGACUUAUCACCUUCUUCUUAAAAUAACCACCAUCAAUCCAAUUCAAGAUUGGCAUGAAAUCCCCAGGAUUUGAUACCCCUCCAUAACGCACUGCCUCCUUCAUUAUCUCCCUGAACUUUCUUGCUUCUUCCUCAUUACUUACAUCAUCACCAUAAUAGCUCUUCCCUGCAACCAUUCUAAUCAUAAUAUUAAACGUUAGCUCGUUAAACACUGAUUUUAGCUCUACCUUUGCAUAAUCUUGCAUCGAAUGAUGAGAUAGCUUAGUUAAUUGUCUUUUGAUUUCAUCUCUUCGAAUGCUUAGAAGCAUGUUAAGGCGAUGAGUUGAGAAGAUUUCAAUAGCGCCAAUGCGGCGGAGGUUGCGCCAGUGGUCGCCAUACGGUGCUUGCACUAAGGUAGUGUAGUUAUAAGCUAUGUACUUGCCCACGAGUAGCUUUGGACGAUUAGCAAAAACUAUGUCGUUCUUGGUGAAGCAUUCUUCUGCGGCGGAGGAAGAGGAGACAACAACUACAGGACGACAGCCGAAUCGGAGGAAGAUGAUUGAGCCAUAUUUUUGAGCUAGACUGUGGAGAGUGCGGUGCAUGGGCGGUUUUAGGAGGUUGAGGUGGCCGAUAAUUGGAAUCGCCGGUGGGCUUGGAGGGAGAUUUUUACGUCGGAUUCUUGAUUGGUAGAAUUUUAAAGCUAGGAAGAAAAAAAGGGAAAGGAACAAGUAAAAUAGUGCGCCUUCCAUGCUUUUUCACUUUUCUUUUGAGCGUUUGUUUUCUUGGCAUGGGUACAUAUAGAUGGGGUAAUGUGCAUGCAUGGUCCAAAAAAUCAGCCGUAACCACUUCGCUAAG
This 1711-nucleotide unclassified non-coding RNA is filed under the name Hevea brasiliensis (rubber tree). Lineage: Eukaryota; Viridiplantae; Streptophyta; Magnoliopsida; Malpighiales; Euphorbiaceae. The record is from RNAcentral.